This 543-nucleotide ribosomal RNA is filed under the name uncultured Syntrophus sp. Its description in RNAcentral is "bacterial SSU rRNA". It matches the Rfam family "Bacterial small subunit ribosomal RNA", at positions 8 to 527 of the family's 1533-position model. Lineage: Bacteria; Pseudomonadati; Thermodesulfobacteriota; Syntrophia; Syntrophales; Syntrophaceae. The record is from RNAcentral.
AGAGUUUGAUCAUGGCUCAGAACAAACGCUGGCGGCGUGCCUAACACAUGCAAGUCGUACGAGAAAGGGUCCUUCGGGACCUGAGUAGAGUGGCGCACGGGUGAGUAACGCGUGGAUAAUCUGCCCUUCAGUUGGGAAUAACUCAUCGAAAGGUGGGCUAAUACCGAAUAACGCUGUAAGACCAUGGUCGACCAGCCAAAGAGAGCCUCUGCUUGCAUGCCCUCGCUGAAGGAUGAGUCCGCGUACCAUUAGCUAGUUGGUAGGGUAAUGGCCUACCAAGGCGACGAUGGUUAGCUGGUCUGAGAGGAUGAUCAGCCMCACUGGAACUGAGACACGGUCCAGACUCCUACGGGAGGCAGCAGUGAGGAAUCUUGCGCAAUGGGGGAAACCCUGACGCAGCAACGCCGCGUGAGUGAGGAAGGUCUUCGGAUCGUAAAGCUCUGUCAGAUGGAAAGAACCGCAUGGGGGUUAACAGCCCCUGUGUCUGACGGUACCAUCAGAGGAAGCACCGGCUAACUCCGUGCCAGCAGCCGCGGUAAUACA